CACACGAUGUCGAUUGAGGAUGGCAGUAAAAAUUUAGGUCUUCAGACUUUGAAAUUUCGCUGCUGAUUCUUUAGAUCUUAAGUAUGUUGAAGAAAACCUGAUUUGAGAGAAGCACUGUACCACACUCUGGAAAGCAUUUUGUGGAGGAGCAUGAUGUUGCCUUUUGUUUGGUUACCAGCCUCAUUUCAUUUCUGCUUGUUAACUACACAGCGUUUUUUCUCGAAGAUUGAAUCCAUUAAAGUCUCCAGUAUGUUCUUCAUAGGGGUGUGUUGACAAGGAUAUCAUUUUGUGAAAGUAAACACAUCACGAGCAAGGUUCAGUUUAGAGAUCGACAGCCUUCAGCUACUUAACAUCUAGCUCAUGGUCAACUUGAAGCACAAAAUUUCUGUUAUUGAUUCUUCCCAAAUGCCUAUGUAAUAUGGAAUGCUUGACAGUCAAACGGAAUGCUUGUAAUGCAUACAAAAUGUGUGACAUGGGGGAAAAGCCUGGCAGAAUGUGUAGGGUUCGGAAAUCAGAGGUAGUAGCCGGUUAUUUUGAUAAACCUUCAAUUGAAUUUCGUUCUCUUUGUCUUACGUGUUAUGAAAUGACUACGUAAAGGAUUUCGCCAUCCAGGUCAUGUGAAUACCCUGCCAUAUAGCCCCUUGGUACAUGAUGAAUCGAGGAUUCUCCAUUGACGUACAAGACGUUACACCUGCAAAAUACUGUUGACAGAAGAACUGGUAGGUUUGGACAAUGGUUAACGGCAAAUGCGAUGAAUGGAUCACCACAGGUCAGUUGUCUUGCCUUCCCAGUUGUAAUGAAGGCGAAUCGUCGGAGUGAAAACCAUUAAGAGAAGUUGCUGGAAUUCAUGUCAUCCUUGAAAAGAUUGCUAAAAGAAAAGAGCUGCAUCCAUGAAACAGCUCAUUACUCCUGCCCCAAACGAAUGCCUGCGUCAGCCUUCAAGCUUUAAUGGCUAAAAAGGAUUUGAUAGAUUAGAAAAUCGCAGUUUGCACUUCCUAAGGCGACAUUCCUAAAUCCCACCUGUCAAGAGAUCUGUGUCCAACCGUUUCAACCAUGAACUGACGCCCACCGAAUUCUUUUUCAUAAAAUGGCGGGGGGGGGGGGGGAGGUAUGAGGUUUUAGUGGAAAUUGCCGUCAAGACUGCCGAGAUCAGGUGCAAGGAACUACUAAUCGGAAAGUACUUGGAAGACCUCUGUGGCCAACAGGAAGGGUCUUACAAACGUUCGUAUUCAAGUUUUUGCUGCGGUGAACACAUGCAAUUGCAUGGCCUUUCAGAAGCUCCUGCCAGGAAUCAUACAGGAAUGUGCCAGAUGAUUUUAUG
Molecule: long non-coding RNA, 1321 nt
Organism: Daphnia carinata
Lineage: Eukaryota; Metazoa; Arthropoda; Branchiopoda; Diplostraca; Daphniidae
Exons: 8
Source: RefSeq, a predicted model, not a curated record